This 253-nucleotide ribosomal RNA is filed under the name uncultured bacterium. Its description in RNAcentral is "partial 16S ribosomal RNA". It matches the Rfam family "Bacterial small subunit ribosomal RNA", at positions 524 to 776 of the family's 1533-position model. The record is from RNAcentral.
UACGAAGGGGGCUAGCGUUGCUCGGAAUUACUGGGCGUAAAGGGCGCGUAGGCGGCGCGGUAAGUCACUUGUGAAAUCUCUGAGCUUAACUCAGAACGGCCAAGUGAUACUGCAGUGCUAGAGUGUGGAAGGGGCAAUCGGAAUUCUUGGUGUAGCGGUGAAAUGCGUAGAUAUCAAGAGGAACACCUGAGGUGAAGACGGGUUGCUGGGCCAACACUGACGCUGAGGCGCGAAAGCCAGGGGAGCAAACGGG